AAACUUAUUUAGUAUAAAGUAUACUUGACUUCCAAUCAAGAGGUCUGAAUAUAUUUCAGAAUAA
RNAcentral lists this transfer RNA (64 nucleotides) under Antarctoperla michaelseni. RNAcentral describes it as "tRNA-Gly". It matches the Rfam family "tRNA". From Rfam's summary of the family: Transfer RNA (tRNA) molecules are approximately 80 nucleotides in length. The record is from RNAcentral. Lineage: Eukaryota; Metazoa; Arthropoda; Insecta; Plecoptera; Gripopterygidae.